Molecule: microRNA, 23 nt
Filed under: Bombyx mori (domestic silkworm)
Lineage: Eukaryota; Metazoa; Arthropoda; Insecta; Lepidoptera; Bombycidae
Description: bmo-miR-3259
Source: miRBase by way of RNAcentral
UGCAAUUGACAAGAAAAUCUUUU